GUAGCGAAAUUCCUUGUCGGGUAAGUUCCGACCUGCACGAAUGGCGUAAUGAUGGCCAGGCUGUCUCCACCCGAGACUCAGUGAAAUUGAACUCGCUGUGAAGAUGCAGUGUACCCGCGGCAAGACGGAAAGACCCCGUGAACCUUUACUAUAGCUUGACACUGAACAUUGAGCCUUGAUGUGUAGGAUAGGUGGGAGGCUUUGAAGUGUGGACGCCAGUCUGCAUGGAGCCGACCUUGAAAUACCACCCUUUAAUGUUUGAUGUUCUAACGUGGACCCGUUACCCGGGUUGCGGACAGUGUCUGGUGGGUAGUUUGACUGGGGCGGUCUCCUCCUAAAGAGUAACGGAGGAGCACGAAGGUUGGCUAAUCCUGGUCGGACAUCAGGAGGUUAGUGCAAUGGCAUAAGCCAGCUUGACUGCGAGCGUGACGGCGCGAGCAGGUGCGAAAGCAGGUCAUAGUGAUCCGGUGGUUCUGAAUGGAAGGGCCAUCGCUCAACGGAUAAAAGGUACUCCGGGGAUAACAGGCUGAUACCGCCCAAGAGUUCAUAUCGACGGCGGUGUUUGGCACCUCGAUGUCGGCUCAUCACAUCCUGGGGCUGAAGUAGGUCCCAAGGGUAUGGCUGUUCGCCAUUUAAAGUGGUACGCGAGCUGGGUUUAGAACGUCGUGAGACAGUUCGGUCCCUAUCUGCCGUGGGCGCUGGAGAACUGAGGGGGGCUGCUCCUAGUACGAGAGGACCGGAGUGGACGCAUCACUGGUGUUCGGGUUGUCAUGCCAAUGGCACUGCCCGGUAGCUAAAUGCGGAAGAGAUAAGUGCUGAAAGCAUCUAAGCACGAAACUUGCCCCGA
RNAcentral lists this ribosomal RNA (847 nucleotides) under Salmonella enterica. Its description in RNAcentral is "partial 23S ribosomal RNA". It matches the Rfam family "Bacterial large subunit ribosomal RNA", at positions 1956 to 2802 of the family's 2925-position model. RNAcentral also lists the same sequence under 1 other name. Lineage: Bacteria; Pseudomonadati; Pseudomonadota; Gammaproteobacteria; Enterobacterales; Enterobacteriaceae. The record is from RNAcentral.